Molecule: transfer RNA, 87 nt
Filed under: Actinomycetota bacterium
Lineage: Bacteria; Bacillati; Actinomycetota
Description: tRNA-Ser
Rfam family: tRNA
About the family: Transfer RNA (tRNA) molecules are approximately 80 nucleotides in length. Their secondary structure includes four short double-helical elements and three loops (D, anti-codon, and T loops).
Source: RNAcentral
GGCGGGGUGCCAGAGCGGACGAAUGGGGCGGUCUUGAAAACCGUUAUCGGGGAAACCCGGUCGAGGGUUCGAAUCCCUCCCCCGCCG